This is an RNA transcript of Vollenhovia emeryi, 5231 nucleotides long. It is a transcript of the gene named glutamate-gated chloride channel, with no coding region annotated. The transcript is spliced from 16 exons. The record is from RefSeq and is a predicted model, not a curated record. Lineage: Eukaryota; Metazoa; Arthropoda; Insecta; Hymenoptera; Formicidae.
GGCGGAACGCGAGGUGUUCGUUAGUCGUGGUACGCUGUCACCGCCGCCGCCGUCAUCGCGCCGCCACUACACACACAUUUAUAUAUAUAUACAUAUGUGUAUAUAUGUAUAUAUAUAGUAUUAUAUAUACAUCUACAUUUACGUGACAAAUAGUACGUGUGUGCGUGUAUUACGUGCACGCGAGCGCGCGCGCGCGUCUCGUCUGCCUGCCUGCCUACCUGCCUACCUGCCUACCUACCUAUCCGUCUACCCACCUCUCUCUCUCUCUCUCUCUCUCUCUGUCUACAUUUCUCUACCGGUGUAAUUUCGUGCGAGUAGUGGUCCACUUUCGAACGGGAGACACGCACUCCGAGAGGGAUUAAAGUGCUACGCGGGGCAAAGCUGCGACACGGCCGAUUGUUCGCACAGAUGUCUGUCUACUCUCGAUGGUGACAAUAAUUUGUCUACGCUGAGAUGACGAUGAAAUACUGAAGAGUUUUCCAUUCAUGAAAAUGAAUGAAGAGGGCCGUGCGCGAGGAUGAACGCUUGAGCGUAAAAGUUGAAGAGACAGACCUACACAACGAAUAGCAAAAGCCUGCCUCGUCCAUUGCGACCAGCUACAUAUCUCACGUUAAGAUGACAUAGAAUGGGUUGGGUGGCGCUAGGGCGGUGUGCGGGUGGUGGCGGCCGCCUCUCGUCCAUCCUCUCGCUGUCUCUCACCUCCUUCGCGAGUUCCCUCAUCUUCACCUCCCUUUGUAUCCUUACACUUGCCUUUACUCUCGUCACCCUCGCUCGUGCCGAAGACAUCUUCGAGGAGGGAAAAUCGGACAAGGAGAUUCUGGACAACCUGCUGCUAGCGACCCGUUACGACAAGCGGCUUCUGCCGCCGGUCCAAGAUGCUGAUUUCUGCUGCGGAAUGAGAUGGCCUGGUGACACUACCGGCUUGACAAACCAGUCGUCGAUCUCUUCUAACGACGCCAAGAACCAGAACAAGAACCAGAACAAUAACCACUACACGUCGCACCAAUACCGCACUCACCUUCGCGGAACGUUGACCGUAAACGUGAGCGUAUUGCUGCUAAGCUUAGCAUCUCCUGACGAGUCCAGUCUGAAAUACGAGGUGGAAUUCUUACUGCAGCAACAGUGGUACGAUCCACGAUUGCGUUAUAGCAACAGAUCAAGAUAUGAGUUUUUAAAUGCGAUUCACCAUUACGAGAAUAUCUGGUUGCCGGAUACGUAUUUCAUAAUGCAUGGAGAUUUCAAAGAUCCCCUCAUUCCUGUUCACUUCGCCCUGCGGAUAUACCGCAACGGCACCGUCAACUAUCUUAUGCGGCGUCAUCUUAUCCUAUCCUGCCAGGGUAGACUUAAUAUCUUCCCUUUUGACGACCCAUUGUGUUCAUUCGCAAUCGAGAGCAUAUCGUAUGAGCAGACAGCGAUUACGUAUGUGUGGAAAAAUGAUGAGGGUACGUUACGAAAAAGCCCAAGCCUGACGUCACUGAAUGCGUAUCUCAUUAAAAAUCAGACAAUCACAUGUCCGAUCAAAGUGAGCUGGCGAGCUGACGGACAGAUCGUGGUUGAGGAGGACGAGUUCGAUGAUUUUGGAGACUCUAAGUGCUCGCUGUGCCAGCGCAGAUUUGAGGAGCAAGGUAAUUACAGCUGCUUGAAGGUGGAUCUGAUCUUCACGCGAGAUCGUUCCUUCUAUUUUACUACGGUUUUCAUCCCGGGCAUUAUUCUAGUAACCAGCUCUUUCAUCACAUUUUGGCUCGAAUGGAAUGCCGUGCCGGCGCGAGUGAUGAUUGGUGUAACAACGAUGCUCAACUUUUUCACCACGUCGAAUGGCUUCCGGGGAACGCUGCCCGUCGUUUCGAACUUGACUGCCAUGAACGUGUGGGACGGCGUGUGCAUGUGCUUCAUCUACGCGAGUCUUCUCGAGUUCGUCUGCGUGAAUUACGUCGGCCGCAAACGGCCGAUGCACAACGUUGUCUAUCGUCCGGGCGAGAAUCCCGUCACCCAGCGGCUUCCAGCGGUGCUCAGCAGGAUAGGAAUUAUAUUGGCCAGCCCCUUGAAGCGGGAGGGCGGAGCUGCUACCGGUGGUACUACUGGACCGAACGAGAUCGUCACUUGCACCAAUUGCGGACCUAAUCCCUGCACGCAUACGGCAACGAACGGUUGCACCGCCGAGCUAAGGAAAAAGGACCCGCCGCAUCCAAUUAGAGUGGCGAAGACGAUCGACGUGAUAGCCAGGAUCACUUUCCCAGUCGCCUAUUUCAUGUUCCUCACCUUCUUCUUCAUUCACUAUAAGGGCACCUCGUAGAAUGACGCACAACGAUCUCCGAGAGAUCUCCCAUCGCUGGUAUGAGCGACAACGAAACUUUCCAAUAGGCAAGAGUAACGCAGACAAGCAGGAUUCAGAAAUUCUUACGGAGUCGUGGAUGUUACCUGACUGCAAUGAACGAACGAAAUCAAACAGAUCAGCUGUAAUGAGUGGACGGGACGUCUGAGGGAUAAGAGACUUUCUCUCCCGAAGGAAGGAAGGAAGGAAGAGGGCCAUUAGUACGACGGUAUUCGAAGGUAUAAAGGACACGGAUACCAACGAUGGAUCGUCUCCGACUAUUCUUCAUCUCCUCUCACGUGUGAUAGCUCUUGAAAGCACUCCUCUACGGGGGAAGUAGAUUACGAUCGCUUCGCGAUCCUGCGCAGCGGCCAUAUACACUUAUCUUCAUUAUUCUUUUCUCUUUCUUAUAUCUUAGAUAGGUAAUAGAAUGUGUCGCUGGCGAACACUUUGGCCAAGCAGAGAGAAUGACGCUUAGCUUAAUUAACGAUCGAUGAUCAAACGUACUUGUGUAAGAUAUAAUAUUGCAGACGAACCUCUGUAUUCUUAACACCUGUAAUCUUAACAUUCUUACGACGUGUUCCGAAAUGCCCUAACAAUACAGAAAAUGUACCAUUCACGUUACGUAUAUACAAUACAUUUAAAUGUCAGUACAUUUCGGAAUGCGCGCCCUUAAUCUCCGUAUUUUUAACACCUUUUUCUAGCACUGCUCUCCGCCAGUCAUAUUUGCCGCGCAAUCAUUAAGCGACAAAACUUCUCCUUAUAUCCGCGGCACUAAAUGGGCUGAUUGUAAUUAGUUUACACAGCCUUAAGCGAAUAGUACUGGCCACUAUCGAAGGCACUAUUGCUUCAUUUCGAAGAGAUUCGCAUAUCAUAUUCUUGAGUUGAUACACAGAGUGAGAAAUAGAGAAAAGGGGCCGAAGGGAUCUAGAAAAAGGAUAGAAAUAUGGAGAUUAAAUGUAAAGACAAUUUUUUUUAAUGGAAGAAGAUUGACAACGAUCUUGGGACGGCAGUUCUUUCGUAAAGUAAAGAAAGUGUACUCAGAAGAGGAAAACUUUUACAUUUCGUUUAACAUGUUUAACGUAAAAGAUCUUAUAAGUUGUACAGCAUAAACAGUUUCACAGAAUGCACAAUAUAAUAUUUUCUGUAAUUAUAAGAACAAACAACCGAGCCAAAAAGAUUGCAUUAAACAAUACUGUAACUAUCCAGGUUUGUUGAAAACACAUUUUAAUAAGUAAUUAUUAUGAAUAUAGUCGACAGAAUUUCGGAAAUAUAACAAAAUCUGCUAACACAUAACGGCAAGCCGCAGAAAUCGAGCAUAAUUUGUCAUUUCAUAAUCGCUUGAAUGAUAUAUUCCAUUUAACUUACAAAAUAAUAGAUUUUGUACGAGUUUUGCUGGCUCUAACAUUAGAUUACAUAUCGGCGAAGGAAAUUGAACAUGAACUUAAUGUAAAUGCAUUGAUGCUAAUCUGCCUCAAUAUUCUGCUCAAAUCUGCUGACAAAUUGCAACAAUUAUAAUAGUUUAACGUAAAUAGAGAUCUAACGCUCUGCGAAAUUUGCUUGAGAAGACGUGAGGAGUUUAAGUAUUGUAUGUUUAAUUGAAGUUAAGGAUAGAACUAAUGUUCAUGGAAACUGACCAUGGUGUCAAAAUAUCCGAAGAUAUUAAAGAUACAGAAUCUGUCCUUUUUUUCUGCCAUUAUUUUAUACAUGUAAUGUUUUUUGAGUUGAGAAUUUUAUUCGUCAACGGCACCACACAUCCUCAUUGUGUGUAUCAUUCAAGUGAAAAUCGAAACCGAUGGGGAAAGAAUAGGAAGAGAUCGUUUGACUGAUGCUAAGAAUAUGGACGUUCGAACUGUACUAGUGCAAGCAAAAAAAACACACACUAUCCGUGGACGUGGUUGAUUCGUGACCAGUGUUUUAUCGAUAUUGAAUCUUUCGCUUGUCGCGCUGCGCCUAAUUUUCAAAGUCGAAAAUCAGAAACCGAACGUUGAAACGAUUCGUGAGGACCGCGGUGGGGCAGUUACAGGAUAUUUCACGUAACAUAAAUAAUUGUUGAGGACGAGAGAGAGAGAGCGGGAUAAGUGUAUCGAGAUUGACUAGGUAGAUAGGUAGGUAGAGAGCUGGAUAUAGAUUACAGAUAAAGCUUUCGUUGUGAUACGUCUACCGGUAAGUGAAGAGUUUAGUAUACGCGUCAAGUAUCCUGUAUUCAGAUCUAAUAGAAGCUGUUAGAUGAAACCGAAAAAAAAAGUCGAGUCGGGAAACGAAGAGCCUAUUUCCUCCGUGCCAGAGUAUAUACAUGCUAUUUGCCACGACGCAGUGUGUACGUGUAUAUCGAAGCAAAGCCGCCGCCAUUAGCGCGAUAAUAUAAAUGGAAGAUGCUAAAAUGCUACGGACACUUUACUUUGUAAGAGUAGGAGGACAUAUACGUCACUAUGGCGAACGCCGAGGCGAGAGAAGGAAGGCAAGUGGUCGGUUUAUGAUGCGAUGCGCGGCCGCACCGGGAAAGACUAUCUAUCUUGACAUUACUGAAAGUAACAAUACGCCAUACAAUCGCGCUUUCUUCUCGACCGGAUAAUUAGGUACGUCUCUACGAUAUGCGUCAAGCGUCGUCGACUAGCUCGGAUACUAUUGUGUAGCUUGCGUACUAUUUUAGAUGCAACAUCGCUACGCUACACUACUACUAUAUAUCACUAUUACUACUUUUAUUAUUAUCGCAACUAAUAUUAUUAUACUGUUACAGUUGCUAUUUUAGUAUUCGUAUUAUCGCUACUACUGUUACUAUUAUUACAGAUACACUAUUGUAAUAUCGCAGAUCUUAGGCGAGACGCGGAAUCGGGAGCGCCUACGAAGCGCCUACCAUUUAUACUGAUCGAAUCACCCAUUUAUUGUCCAGCAAUAUUAAAAGAAACAGCAGACCAAA